GACUAGCCGUUGGACUCCUUGAGGGUUUAGUGGCGCAGCUAACGCGAUAAGUCGACCGCCUGGGGAGUACGGCCGCAAGGUUAAAACUCAAAUGAAUUGACGGGGGCCCGCACAAGCGGUGGAGCAUGUGGUUUAAUUCGAUGCAACGCGAAGAACCUUACCUGGCCUUGACAUCCAGAGAAUCCUACAGAGAUGUGGGAGUGCCUUCGGGAAUUCUGAGACAGGUGCUGCAUGGCUGUCGUCAGCUCGUGUCGUGAGAUGUUGGGUUAAGUCCCGCAACGAGCGCAACCCUUGUGUCUAGUUGCCAGCACGUAAAGGUGGGAACUCUAGACAGACUGCUUGGUGACAAACCAGAGGAAGGCGGGGACGACGUCAAGUCAUCAUGGCCCUUACGGCCAGGGCUACACACGUGCUACAAUGGUCGGUACAGAGGGUUGCGAACCUGCGAAGGCGAGCCAAUCUCUAAAAGCCGAUCUUAGUCCGGAUUGCAGUCUGCAACUCGACUGCAUGAAGUCGGAAUCGCUAGUAAUCGCGGAUCAGAAUGCCGCGGUGAAUACGUUCCCGGGCCUUGUACACACCGCCCGUCACACCAUGGGAGUUUACUGCACCAGAAGUAGUUAGCCUAACCGCAAGGAGGGCGAU
Molecule: ribosomal RNA, 642 nt
Filed under: uncultured Gammaproteobacteria bacterium
Lineage: Bacteria; Pseudomonadati; Pseudomonadota; Gammaproteobacteria
Description: bacterial SSU rRNA
Rfam family: Bacterial small subunit ribosomal RNA
Source: RNAcentral